CAGAACUGGAAACAGGCUAGGGAUGGCAAAUGAUACAAAGCACGGGUACUUUAGAUACAUUUGGAUAUAACCAUGGAAGAAAACUCUUUUUAGGAGUUUCACUUUGGUUGAUGCUGCUGCAAAUCAGCUGAGCCUGGUAAAUUUUCUUUGUAUUAACUGCCGACAUGAAUUUCCUGAGCAAAACCCACCCAAACAAAAAAACACCAUGGAAACAAACAAAGACAGUAGAAAACAUAUAAAUCCACAUAUGGGAAAGAUACAAGAGAAAUAUGUUCUGAUGUAAUUUUCAGAAUGGACAGCAUGAUGCAUACUUCCUGACCCUGUAACAUAGGUUAAUCUUUUCAGUAGGGAGGUUUCCACUCCAAAUGCAGUGAAGUCUUAGAUACUAUUUGUAAAUCAGGAGAUAUUUUAACUACCAUGCUACAGGACAUUGAGCAGUCUGCAAAGUAAGGGCAAUAAGCAGAAAGUUGCCAAAUCCUGUGUAGGGCACAGGACGCUGCUUUUCUGUCUUUGAGACAUUUUUGGAGCAAAGAUUCACCAGCUGCUUUUUGGUUGCCCCACCACACAAGAAAGGCAAUCAGCUGCAAUGUGUGCCUCACGAAGCUCACACUGCCUGGCUGGCGGGCUCAGCCAUGUCAUUUCAUCCAGAGGAGCAGACAGAAGCCUUCCUCUACAAACACCCUUGUCUACUCACCUAGCAACCUAUAAAAGAGAAGAAAUCAACUCUGUGGCGUCCCUGGGCUUCUCCUUGAUGCAGUUUUACAGCAAAAAGCAAAUUCCAUGAUUUCAUGGUGUCUUCAAACAUUUUGAUCUCCAGACAAAACUUCCCAGAGAACCUUGUACAGCACAAAAAGAACAAUGGAGGUGCACAAUACCUCUGAAGCUGACAAGAACUCAACCACAAUGUUCAGGAGAUUAAGAAGAAGGAGAAAGCUGAAGGACAACUAGAAGGCAAAGCUUGUGGGGGACGCUGCACAAGUCUUUGACAUACAGCCAAGUUGGACAAAGGAGAAGGACAAGAGGGAGGAAGACUAUGAGCCUUCAGCACGAGAGACCCCCGCAGGGACCCCCAGAGACUGAUACGCAUG
Anas platyrhynchos (mallard) is the source of this 1088-nucleotide long non-coding RNA. RefSeq lists it as uncharacterized. NCBI's taxonomy places the organism in Eukaryota, Metazoa, Chordata, Aves, Anseriformes, Anatidae. The record is from RefSeq and is a predicted model, not a curated record.